RNAcentral lists this ribosomal RNA (397 nucleotides) under Cephalobus sp. PRL001. RNAcentral describes it as "partial large subunit ribosomal RNA". The record is from RNAcentral. Lineage: Eukaryota; Metazoa; Nematoda; Chromadorea; Rhabditida; Cephalobidae.
UAAGAGAGUCAGAGGACGUGAACCGGUAGGAGGGAAACGGAUAGAGCCACGAACAAGCCCGUAUUCAGCUAGUCGGCCGGCGCCCCCGGGGCCCGCCGCUAAGGGAUUUGCGGGUGAAGGGGGCUGAAGCGUGGGGGGGGGGCCUGGGAAAUGGCCGGCAGAAGGCUCGUCCUUACGGAGUUGGAACAACCAAGCCGGGGGUAGUAUGGUCGCUCCUGCACAUAUAUUUGGUUACGGGGAUUCUUGCUGUUGUGUCCUCUCGAUACUUGCUGGGUCGGCGGCCUGGGACUAGUACUUGUUGGUGGGUGUCGACGGCGCGCCGGCGCCCUGGUCGCCCCUCGGUGUAAAAAUUGGUCAUCUCUCCUACCCCCCUUGAAAAACGGACCAAGGAGGAUUC